GCAGCUAUGCCGCGUGUGUGAAGAAGGCCUUCGGGUUGUAAAGCUCUGUCAGGUGGGAAGGAAACACCGCGAGGUUAAUAAGGSUAGACUUUGACGGUACCACCGRAGGAAGCACCGGCUAACUCCGUGCCAGCAGCCGCGGUAAUACGGAGGGGGCAAGCGUUGUUCGGAAUUAUUGGGCGUAAAGAGCGUGUAGGCGGUUUGUUAAGUCAGUUGUGAAAUCCCUGGGCUCAACCCAGGAAGUGCAUUUGAAACUGCCRGCCUUGAGUAUUGGAGAGGAAGGUGGAAUUCCCGGUGUAGAGGUGAAAUUGCGUAGAUAUCGGGAGGAACACCAGUGGCGAAGGCGGCUUCCUGGACCUAUACUGACGCUGAGACGCGAAAGCGUGGGGAGCAAACAGGAUUAGAUACCCUGGUAGUCCACGCCGUAAACGAUGAGCACUAGGUGUAGCGGGUAUUGACCCCUGCUGUGCCGUAGCUAACGCAUUAAGUUCUCCGCCUGGGGAGUACGGCCGCAAGGCUAAAACUCAAAUGAAUUGACGGA
This 541-nucleotide ribosomal RNA is filed under the name uncultured delta proteobacterium. RNAcentral's name for it is "bacterial SSU rRNA". It matches the Rfam family "Bacterial small subunit ribosomal RNA", at positions 388 to 917 of the family's 1533-position model. The record is from RNAcentral. Lineage: Bacteria; Deltaproteobacteria.